Molecule: small nucleolar RNA, 137 nt
Filed under: Ornithorhynchus anatinus (platypus)
Lineage: Eukaryota; Metazoa; Chordata; Mammalia; Monotremata; Ornithorhynchidae
Source: RNAcentral
CCCCUCUCAGGGUCGCACCUGGAGAAUUUCCAGUAUUCUACCAGUGUCGACUACAGGAGGAAGAGUCAAGUAGAGGCAUGUCCAUUCCAUUCUAGCUUGGGCAGUGGCUAGGGAGUGGAAGGCAAUCUGCUACAAGU